UACGGAGGUCCCGAGCGUUGUCCGGAUUUAUUGGGCGUAAAGCGAGCGCAGGUGGUUUAUUAAGUCUGGUGUAAAAGGCAGUGGCUCAACCAUUGUAUGCAUUGGAAACUGGGAGACUUGAGUGCAGAAGAGGAGAGUGGAACUCCAUGUGUAGCGGUGAAAUGCGUAGAUAUAUGGAAGAACACCAGUGGCGAAAGCGGCUCUCUGGUCUGUAACUGACGCUGAGGUUCGAAAGCGUGGGUAGCAAACAGG
RNAcentral lists this ribosomal RNA (252 nucleotides) under uncultured bacterium. Its description in RNAcentral is "partial 16S ribosomal RNA". It matches the Rfam family "Bacterial small subunit ribosomal RNA", at positions 524 to 776 of the family's 1533-position model. The record is from RNAcentral.